RNAcentral lists this long non-coding RNA (205 nucleotides) under Mytilus galloprovincialis (Mediterranean mussel). Lineage: Eukaryota; Metazoa; Mollusca; Bivalvia; Mytilida; Mytilidae. The record is from RNAcentral.
UUUCGUCUACAUUAGACUCAUCAGUGACGCUCAUAUCAAAAUAUUUAUAAAGCCAAACAAGUACAAAGUUGAAGAGCAUUGAGGAUCCAAAAUUCCAAAAAGUUGUGCCAAAUACGGCUAAGGUAAUCUAUACCUGGGAUAAGAAAAUCCUUAGUUUUUUCGAAAAAUUCAAAGUUUUGUAAACAGGAAAUUUAUAAAAAUGACC